UGGGUAAUAUUGGACAAUGGGCGCAAGCCUGAUCCAGCAAUGCCGCGUGAGUGAUGAAGGCCUUAGGGUUGUAAAGCUCUUUCGCACGCGACGAUGAUGACGGUAGCGUGAGAAGAAUCCCCGGCUAACUUCGUGCCAGCAGCCGCGGUAAUACGAAGGGGGCUAGCGUUGUUCGGAAUUACUGGGCGUAAAGGGCGCGUAGGCGGCCUGUUAAGUUAGGAGGGAAAGCCCCGGGCACAACCUGGGAAUUGCUCUUAAUACUGGCAGGCUUGAGUUCCGGAGAGGAUGGUGGAAUUCCCAGUGUAGAGGUGAAAUUCGUAGAUAUUGGGAAGAACACCGGUGGCGAAGGCGGCCAUCUGGACGGACACUGACGCUGAGGCGCGAAAGCGUGGUGAGCAAACA
Molecule: ribosomal RNA, 402 nt
Filed under: uncultured bacterium
Lineage: Bacteria
Description: bacterial SSU rRNA
Rfam family: Bacterial small subunit ribosomal RNA
Source: RNAcentral